CAGCAAUUCAAAGUUAUCUCAUGCCAACAAAAACAAAAUCAACUACUUUCACCCGCAUGAUAGUUUUCAACAUUACUGAUUGUGAUAGGAACCAGUUAAAAUGAUCCUGGUAUGUUACAUAAAAAGUAGCUGCCUGAAUUUGGAUAGAUAUUUUCAGAAUAAUGUUUUAUUUUAUAGUCAUCACGCAUAAUUCUAAAUCCCAGCAGCAAUCAGAGAAUUAUUUUAAACUUUAAAAAUGUUUUUCAUGAACAAAAAUGUUUGUCAUAUGUUAAUAUAUUGCCAAGUUGUCGUCUCCAAAUUGACUUGAAUAAGCAUAUUUUCUGCAAAGAAAAUUAAUCCUGAAUGAAGAUUGACAGUAAGAUUAAUUGAAAGUUUGGGUUUGUGAAGUAUUGGUUUAAUCCUGGGUGUCAUAAGACCAGGAAUUAGUUAAAUAGAAAAACAGCAGCCAAAGUGUGACAGAUUUGAAAUGUUGUCAAUGCAACAUACAGUAUGGCUGCAUCUUAAGAUCUGCUGAAACAGAGAUAGAACAGGGAUUGAAGCAGUGACCAAUCCUCUUUGAGGGGAACAGUUUAAGUGUUUUGCAGAGACUUUGCCACAUAUAGAACUGUGCAAAAGUCUGUGGCACCCUAGAUUUCAGAAGGUAGGGUCUCCACAGAGGCCUGAUCUGAUCAUCCAGGCUGCCUGGGACCACCUGGAGAGAUAGAAGCAAGCAAAACAGCCAAAGUCUGCAGAAGAACUGUGGUGUCUUUGUGAUUUAACCAACACUGGAUGACAGUUUCUCUAAGCACUGAGCAACUAAAUCAGUUAUCUUUAAGAACACCACUGGAGCCUGUCUUCUGAAAGGGCUGCAAAGAAAAGAGCAUCAGGACCAUCACGGAGAUUGCUGAGCCAACCUCCAGAUGGCUAUGGAUCAAGAGGUGUGACCCGUGGACCAAUGGUGCUGGGACACAAACCAGGCCCUGAUCAACCCUGGCUGGAUCUCCUGAGCGAGAGUGUCUGAUGUUGAAAGAUCUGAAACACCUGAUGGCCCCAUGUUACAUCACUGAGGCCGAGUCCCAACGCAUCCUAGGAUGUAUCAUAGCAUCUUAGCAUCAUCAUAGAUUUCUACUUCAUCUGAAAUUAAACCUAAAGAGUCUCUUUACUACAUUAUACCCUUCCAAAAUCCAAUUCAACCUAUAUUGUCAAUUUUUCAUUUCUAUUAAGUGAAAUUCAAAGUUUAAAAGAUAUAUAUUCAUCACAGAAUAUGCACACAUUAUUUAGCUAGAUAAUUCAAAUCAAUUUGUGUAAAAUAUUUGGCCAUUAGAUCAAAUAUAUACUUAUGGCCUUUAAGAACAAAGUGAACAGCAUACCUCAAGACACUCGUGCAAAUCUCGAACGUAUGCUUUUUCAGUCUGCAGGAGCUCAGCCAUUAUAAAUCUGAAAUGAAAGUGGGAAGAAAAUUUUGUAUGAAGUACAAUAACAGUUUACACAAUUAGACAUUGAAACAAAUCUUCAUUUUAAUCUAAAAAUGACAAAUUUUGUUAAUGCUUUGGAAGAUAGGAAAAUUAUUCCACAUAUUAUCUGCACAUUAUUUUAUUAAC
This is a long non-coding RNA of Hypanus sabinus (Atlantic stingray), 1580 nucleotides long. RefSeq lists it as uncharacterized. The record is from RefSeq and is a predicted model, not a curated record. The transcript is spliced from 3 exons. Lineage: Eukaryota; Metazoa; Chordata; Chondrichthyes; Myliobatiformes; Dasyatidae.